UCUUUAACGUUUGUACGCCACGACCGAACGCACGGCGAAGCUCUCAGUCGCGCGUUGUUCGCCCGUGCCCGUCGCCGUCGUUGUUGCCGUCGCGCCACCGAUCUCGUUUCGAUAUAAUAUUAUUGUCACGCGUAUAACUUUCCGAUUUGGUUCGUUCCCUCGCUAACUCUGUCUCUCUCGAUUUCGCUAGUUCUCACACACUCUAUCUCUUUCCUUCUCUCUCUCACCCCUCUCUCCGUCUCCUCCUCUCCCCCCCUCCAACUUUAUCGCCGUUUGGCGGUUUUUUUUAUCGACACUGCUGGACACCAAUAUAUGGAUUCGCAGAAAUGAAUAACGAGGACGAGGUGCAAAGAGUUUUCAGGGGUGAGUUGGAUACGGCGGAAUGGGCUAUACCCCGGUUGGUCAAGGUAUUCGUCGCGUCAACCAGAAACGAUUUUUUGGAAGAGAGAAGAUGUAUUCUGGAAAACGUGGGUCCAGAUCUACAGAACCUGUACGACUCAACUGGCUUAGAGGUAGAAUUCGUCGACAUGCAUUAUGGCAGUGAAUUGGAUCCUAUGAAAAAUCCGUUUUUAUUCGCAGAACAUUUGGAUGAAAUUAGAAAUUGCCGAAAAGUUUCCAGAGGAUGUUUCUUUUUGUGUUUAGUGGGCGACGAACACCAACCGUGCCCCGCGCCGGUGCGCAUAGCAGAGGACGCUUACGAACAACUGAAAGACGCGGCGCAGGAGCUGAACUUGGAGUGGUCGGCCGUGGAGGGCGCUUAUCAGCUAGACCCGUUGAACAACCACUACACUCUGCCGAAACCCGAUGACAAGGAUCAAGAACAAUUGCGUCAUUGGUUUGAAAAGAAUGAAAAAGCUUUAGUAGUAAUACAAGAAGCGUCGCAAGAACUAUUAAGCAGAGGUUUGAUUGUUGAUCCUCAAAUAUUUCAUUCAGCGGUUCAACAUCAAACUUUACACGCUCUAGACUUAGAUAAAGAUCACAUGGUCGUGUUCAAUAGGGAAUUCACUGGACGGCACAAUUAUGAAAGCGGUAUUGACGAGACGGUUUCAUCAUUCAAACAUUUCUUAAAGGACACUGUAUCAUCAGAUAAUCUAAUUGAAUUAAGUGUGGAAUGGAAACCUGGGGGUAUCGACGGUGAACAUCCUGAACAUGAUAUGUAUUUGACCAUAUUCCAAGAAGCAGUCAUGUCAAAAAUGCAAAGUAUGAUAAACACAAGCAUUGAACAGAAACCUGAGUUGAAUGCCAGGAACAAAACUAUACAGGAAGUGCUCAAGGAAGCUAUUGUGCACAUAGUUCACUGCAAAGAUAUGAUCAAGCUAAAUCCUCGGAAUCCUCGUUUUGACGCAGUCGCCAAAAUACGAAAAAUGAUGUCCACGACCACUAAACACGGUCCGAUCAUCAUACGUGGAGGUCUGGGAUCCGGAAAAACAUCAAUAAUCACCACCAUCUAUCAAGAAUGUGAAAAAUGGUUCGAUAAGAAACCAGUGAGAAUAGUGAGGUUUUCAGGUGUGACGCCAAGAGCUUCGUACAACCUGGAACUAUUGAGAAUCAUAUGCGAGCAGCUAACUUGUAUACUUCAGCCCAACGGGCUUUGCGUACCUUUAGAUGCCUCAUUCGAUCCGCUGUACAUCAGCGAUUGGUUUCAGACGCUGUUAAAACGAUUCGAAGACGAAUGCAGAUCGUCAACAUUGGUUUUGUUCAUCGAUGAUUUGCAUAGGUUAAACCCUUUGGACUCAGAUGUCGUUGCGGGUCUGUCCUGGUUACCGACAGUACUGCCAUUCAACGUACAUAUCGUAUGCACGACCUUGAACAUUCCUGAUGAAUUGAAAAUGACCCCAAUGCAGAAAGACCGUUUUAGAAAUUCUGAAUUUUAUGUUGAACUACCAGAUGCCAAUAUAGAGACAAUCAAAACAAAUAUUAACAAUAUGUUAGACAACUACGAACAAGCGUAUGGUUUAAAAGCUGUUACCAGGUUAGCUUCGUACAUAUCGGUAUCCGAAUUUGGUUUAACAGAAACCGAACUUCUUGAGUUGCUUAUGCCAACAACUGGUGAUUUUGGAACUCCUUUGAAGUUAGAAGAUGGAAAUUUUAAUUUUUCUACAUUUUGUACUGCUAAAAAAACUAUAAUGCCUCUCUUAUACGAAAAGUUCAUGAGCGGCCGCAUAUUAUUAUGUUGGAGACAUAAAAUUACAUUUGAUGUAGUUAGUCAAAGGUAUCUCACAUCAAAGAUACAUAAAAGAACGUUGCAUAUGGAAAUAGGUAACUUGUUUUUCAGUGAAUUUUCCAAAGACGAAUCGGAAUCCAAAACUGAUGGCUCGGUAAGUAAAGAUGGAGAAACUGUUAUACACAAUGACAUGACAUACAGUUUGAGACACGUCGAGGAAUCAUGGAUUCAUCUGCUCAAAGCUGGUGACCACAUCAGACUAAAAGAACUGACGUUGUGCAAUUUCGACUUUUUACUGGCGGCGGUACGUACUAUAUCCGUCAGUUACCUUCGGUCUAUCCUAGAGCACGCGCGAUGUUAUGUGUUAGACAGAGAUGUCGAAUUGGUGUACUACACAGUGAGGAAAUCGAGUGACGUACUCACGAGGGAUACUUUGCAACUCGGGGCACAAAUCAUUAGUUGGCUACGGCCCGUGGCAGACAGUAGUAAACUAAUGCACAGAAUCAUAAGAUGUUCGGUAUCGUGGUGCGAUGGUUUCACAGAUCCGUUAUUGGUGCCACACACAAGUUGGCUACAACCACCUUUGCCUCUUCACAUCAAAUGCGUCAACUGCGGUAUACCAAUCCGUCAUAUAGCUCCUACGCCUUCAGCGCAACACGUGGUUGUUAUUCCCAAAGAAGGCGACGCCCAACUUUGGCACACGAUGGGAAACGCGAGAGUGCAGACAUUCAAAGGACAUCAGAAACCCAUCAAGUGUUUGAACGUGAACAAAAACCCUCAGUUAUUAGUCACUGGUUCUGAAGACCGUAGCGUUCUAGUCUGGGAUCUAAACACAUACGCUUUAUUAGCGAAAUACAAUGACCUAGAAUCUCUUGUGUUAAGCCUUUGCGUGGCGACAAUCAACGACGGCGGCAACAAAGAACUUGGCGUGGUUUUGGGUUGCGAAAAUAGUAAAAUACUUCUGUUCACGUUAAAAGGGAAAAUGGUAAAAAAAAUUGACUACCACAAAGGACCCGUAACGGCAGUUCAACUGACAUCGCAAGACGUUCUCGUUACUGGUUCGUCAGACUGCACAGUGUGCCUCUGGGAAAUGGACACGCUCGACCUGCUCAACACCAUUGCUCUACCCGGACCCGUGGAAAUGUUGGACAUAUCUGUCGACUCGAUGUUCCUGUUGGUGCUAUGCGAAGGAAAUCAAUUGUGGCUACACGCGCUGGCGACGGGCACUCUCAUACACAACUUGAAAGGCUACUGUUCCAAAGUCAUGUCAAUCGCGUUGGCUGAGGACUGUCAGCGAGCAGUGGUAGCCGGAGUUGACUCCAGGGUGUAUAUCUACGAUAUACACUCAGGAGACUUAGACCUUGUGCCAAUAUCUACAGCACCACACCACAAAGAAGUGAUCGCCGUGAAAAUCACCAACAACGACGACUUCCUUGUCACGGCGGGUAACGGCAAGAUCGCUUACUGGAAUUUCCGGAAAAUGGGUAGCGCACACACGAUCAACAAACAAUCGUCGCCGUUGUCCCGAAAGCCACACACUAGCGCCAUCACCUGUUUGGACAUAUCGCGAGACGGCACAAUGGCUGUCACAGGUGGUCUGGAUAGUCUGGUUAACGUCUGGCAUCUGAACGUGGAGAGCUUAGAAAAUGUCUAUCAACUGAACAACAACGAGCUGCACUCCACUAUGCACGGCCACACAGCUGCUAUAACAUGUCUAGCCAUAGCUUCCAACGGACUUUUUGCCGUUUCCGGUUCAGAGGACAAACUUGUGUUGGUCUGGGGGCUAACGGUGGGCAAUGCCGUUUUCACGUUCAGCGGCCACCAAUCAGCCAUCACCGCCGUGGAGGUGACCUCAGACAGUGAAAAGGUCGUGUCCAGUGACAAGGCGGGCGUCAUAGCGGUCUGGCUAUCAGAUAAUGGGACGCUACUCAACUCGGUGAUAUGCCCGGCAACCAAUUUGUCAGUGACCAACAACAUGAAAUACCUGGUCAGCGGUGACGGCCAUUUUUCGUUACACAUCUGGCCGUUGUCCGUCAAGAACGAGGGAGGCCCUUGGACGGAAAAAUGGCCGGUCAGUCAUACGGAAGAGAUAACGUGUUUCGUAAUAACAUACGACUCGUUGCAAAUAAUCACCGGGUCCAAAGACAUGUCGUUGAAAGUGUGGCAAAUCAAUGGCGGUAAACUGUCACAGGUGUUGGUCGGUCACGAAGACCAAGUGACGUGUGUGGCCGUGGCCAUUAGUGACAAGUCGAUCGUUGUGUCCGGUUCAUGGGACGCCAACCUCAUCAUAUGGGACAUACAUACUGGCGAUGACAGACACCUGCUAACCGGUCAUCUAGGCCACGUGACGUGUGUCAAGCUGAGCGGUGAUGGUUCGGUGGCCCUGUCUGGGUCCGACGACAAGCGCAUAAUCGUGUGGGACACGAAACGCGGCGUCCCGCUCACGUCGCUGCAACUGCACCUCCCCAUUUUGGGCCUGUCUAUGUCCACGGACGUGACCCGGGUUGCGGUACAUCUGUACGAAAGCCAGUACUUGCCCAUCACACAACUGAUGAACACUCCCGCGCAGUACGUUAAGGUGCCGGUGUUCAUAAACCGAGAACACAGAUCGCUAGCCGCCAAGAAGCCCAUGAGGAGGAUGUUGAUCAAAGAAUACUCGUUGGACUCGUACACGUGGCAACGAAAGUACGCGCACUUGACCUCGUCGAUAACACGGGCAGCCGUCGACGAAAAGCUCCGCCGGUUUUCCGUUUCGGCCAGCAUGGAGGAAAUAUCGAAACAGGCCAAUAAUAACGAGAACAUGGGAUCACAGAAUCUGGGUCCCGAGCAAGCGGCUUUAGCGCAAUCGCAACACUUUGACCAAUUGAUCGCCGAAUGGAACAACAAACGGUCGCCUUCCAAAUCAACGAGCCGACCGAACGUGGUAAGUGCCUGCGAACAUCUUACCUAAUUCAAACAAAAGUUUUUAUCAAAACAGAAUUCGAGAUCGAGCAGACAGCAUUCGGCCGACGAAGAGAGUCAUGGCAGCGACGAUUUCAUAUGAUGAACCGACGUUUAUUGCUGCACAUUCGCCGAUCACGCCCUAGACAAAUCCUACUUCAUUCACCAUUGUUGCAACCUAAUUGUGAUCAAACAUUCAAUCAUUCUUCUUAUUAUUAGUAAUAUUAAUGUUUAAAGUUACGGAAACAUAAUCUUAAGUCUGUGCAAUAAUUAUAUACCUUAUUAUUUAAGUAAAUAGCAUGGUAUAGCUAUUGUUAAACAUUUUUAUCCUAGUCAUUUGAAGACCGUAGUCUAGUCUAAGAUUACUAGAUUAAGUAAAAUAUUUUGAGCACAAAAAAUAUCAGCAUCUGAGUGAUUUGUUUUUAUUAUUAUUAUUAUUAUAUUGCAUCAAAAUCAUACGUUUAUAUCUUAGACUUUCUGAAUGUAAAUCAUUAAUUAUAAUGGAAUCAUGGAACUAAUCAGAUUUACUAUACACUAAGUAACUAAAUAUUAAGCUCUUGUAGAAAUCAAAAUAUUAUAUUACGGUCAACCAAACAAAUCAUUGGAUUAUGUAUGUUAACCAAUUAAUUCUAAGGUGACAAUGUCAACUAAUUUCCGGACAACUCAAUUCUAUGAGAAAAAUAAUGGCAUAUCAGUUCCAGCCAAGGUUAUGUGUUUGUUACUAUAAUUUUACGGUUUAUUGAAUCAUGUCUGCCAGAAUUAAUAUUUGGGUAUCUUGGUUAACAUAAAUUCCAACUUUUAUCAACAUAAUUAAUCACUUCAUCAUUUAUAUUUUAACAAUAUUUUAGUCUUAAGAGGAUGUCAGUGCACAACCUAUUUGUCACAACCUAUUUAUCUCUGACCCAUCCACAACAUAGCAAAUUUGUGUUCUGCAGAACCAAUCUUGUAUUGUUACAAUGAAUAUUAAAGUAAAGUUAAUUAAUAGGUACCAAACUUUAAAUUAAGAACAUUGUAUGUGUUUGUACGUUUAGUUUGUAGCUUUUUUUUUUAACACUUGAAUUUUUAUAAAAGUUAUAAACAUGUAAAAUAUUACAGUUUUUAGUUUAAAAAUACUUAUGUUGCAGACAAAUUAAAAUAUAAAAACUCAAUAUACAAAUACAGAUAAUGUUCUUAACUUUAAGUAUGAUAAACGGUAAAUUCACUCUAAUAUUAAAACUAAUAAUACAAGAUUGGUUUUGCGGAACAUAGUGCAUUGACAUACUCUUAAUAAUAUUUCUAUGGUAGCUAUUUAUAAUUUAUUGAAAUGUUGAAACUUUUAAAAUAUCUGUGUUUUGUUUUAUGUUGUGUAUUGUAUUAGUCUACUCUUAUUAUUAUUGUUUUGAAUUGUAAGUGAACAAGAUAAAAGAAUAAACUUCAAAUGUACACAAA
Acyrthosiphon pisum (pea aphid) is the source of this 6532-nucleotide RNA transcript. It is a transcript of the gene named NACHT domain- and WD repeat-containing protein 1, with no coding region annotated. The record is from RefSeq and is a predicted model, not a curated record. The transcript is spliced from 25 exons. Lineage: Eukaryota; Metazoa; Arthropoda; Insecta; Hemiptera; Aphididae.